GGCUCAACUGGGACAAGUGAUUGCAUUUUUCUUCUCAAAUGGUGGGCUACAUAACAAGAAUUUAGCAUUAGACAGGUAUGCCAGUGUUGCUGCUAGUGGAAAGUGCACCAAUAUACAUGCUACUCCAGGAUAAGGUUGGCAGAUAUGCUUUGGUCAAACACUGGCAUGCACAAGGGACGAACAAACAAACGUAGACAGCCGUCAUAUCUUGCCAUCAAGAACAAGAUUUAAGAAAAGACCUGUGGCCGUGGUCAUGUAUGAUGUAGCUCAAUCACCCCAGAAACAGAAGAUGUUAUUAAAAGUAUAAGCUGAUUCCAGUUUGGCUCUGGCAGAGUGAGGGCAGAAGAGAGGACAACAUGUUGGAGGGGAAGCCAGAGAGUUAACCAGAGAUUAAAUCCUGUUGGCUCUUACCGGACAAGGACUGGGCUUUUACUCUGAGUGAGAUCAGAAGCCAUUGCUGGGCUGGGACCGGAGGAGAUACACAGCUCACAAAACACAUCAAUACAGAGAAUUCAAACUUCUGAAAAACAUAUUGGAUGAAGAAAUGAAGUCCAAAUUAAAAUGAGGAAGUCCAGUCAGAUGACGAACUUGAACACAAAGAGCAAGCCAUUGAGCACUAGUUGGCCACAGAUGUGGAUUUAAGUUUUCUAGCUGCCAAAAUGUAAAGAGGGAAACACGAUCCUCUGCAGGACUCAACAGUAUCCCUGAGAUCGAAUCUGACAAACUGCUCAGAAGGGGCACCUAUGCUUUUCCCUGAGAUGAAUGUCUCCCAUCGUCAGAUGUCAGAUUCUGGAUCUAUUUUGACAAGAGAGCUCAAAGGAUUUCUUCACAGAUGGAAAUGAGGGGUGCUAGACCUCCAGAGAGAGAAAAUGAGACACAUAAGGUGGAAAUUACUCUGUGGUGACACACUGUGGAGUCCUGCCCACAACCCGGAUACUUGGACCCACUCCACUGAAACCUUAGGCCACAGCUAAGUUCCUUCCUUCAAAAAAUAAAUCUAAGAAAGAGGAAAAACAGGAAUGACCUCCUUUCAGGCACUCUGUUGGUUUUAUGGCGCCUCUUCUUGCGAAUGUUUGUGUAAAAUUGACAUACUGUGGUCCUUUUCUGCACAAUUACGGCAAGGAAAAUUCAGAUCGCAAAGGUCCACCUUUCAUCUGCAUCUCAUUACCGGGUAGCAGGAAUAAGUAGGCUGACCCUCAGUUUGGACCGGGAACAGCUGUAUUGGCACAGAGAUUUCAGAAAAGAAAAAGCGGGAGUUAGUAGGCCACCCUAAAAGCUGUGCCUCUACAGCGGAAAGAAACUUUGUUUUGACUCUGAGGAACGGCGCUUUUUUUCUAAACGCGAAGGGCGGGGUAAGAGCAGAGCUGCACGCAUCUGUGAAUACAUACUGCCACCAAACGGGCAUAAUUUCACCGCGACGGAGAAAGUCUGGGAGGACGUUCUCUUUGCGGCCCAAUUUCUGCUCUUUAGAUCUGGAGCAGUCCACUGAGGGACCUGAACAAGAUAAACGGGAAGGGAAAAGCGCCAGAAGUUCGAGCAGAGAACCCACCGGGCAGCCGGUGGGGGUGCCCCGGAAGUCGAUUUGCAACUGGGAGGCGGGCGGUCUGCCGAAGUGCUGCCCCGGAAGCCAUAGCAGUAGCAGAAGGACGUUCCCGCCCCGCUCCUUCCCCCGGCCCUCCCCC
This 1682-nucleotide long non-coding RNA is filed under the name Homo sapiens (human). RNAcentral's name for it is "HSALNT0283843". Lineage: Eukaryota; Metazoa; Chordata; Mammalia; Primates; Hominidae. The record is from RNAcentral.